This 1699-nucleotide ribosomal RNA is filed under the name human gut metagenome. RNAcentral describes it as "bacterial LSU rRNA". It matches the Rfam family "Bacterial large subunit ribosomal RNA", at positions 830 to 2539 of the family's 2925-position model. The record is from RNAcentral.
CAAUCGAACCCGGAGAUAGCUGGUUCUCCUCGAAAUAGCUUUAGGGCUAGCCUCGCAUUAGUUUACCGGAGGUAGAGCACUGAAUGGUCUAGGGGGCCUCACCGCCUACCGAAACCUAUCAAACUGCGAAUGCCGGAUAAAUGAUGUGCGGGAGUCAGGCCGCGAGAGAUAAGUUCCGCGGUCAAAAGGGGAACACCCCAGAUCGUCUGCUAAGGUCCCCAAGUACGCGUUAAGUGGGAAAGGAUGUUGGAUUGCACAGACAACCAGGAUGUUGGCUUAGAAGCAGCCACACAUUCAAAGAGUGCGUAAUAGCUCACUGGUCGAGUGAUGAUGCGCGGAAGAUUACCGGGGCUAAAACCUGACACCGAAGUUCGGGGAUAUGCGAAUGCAUAUCGGUAGAGGAGCAAUGUAUGAAAGGCAGAAGCCGUAUCGGAAGGUACGGUGGACGAGAUACAAGAGAGAAUGCCGGCAUAAGUAGCGAGAGAGAGGCGAGAAACCUCUCCGUCGAGAGUCUGAGGUUUCCUGGGGAAGGUUCGUCCGCCCAGGGUAAGUCGGGGCCUAAGUCGAGGUCGAAAGGCGUAGAUGAUGGACAACCGGUACAAAUUCCGGUACUACCGAAAUUCGAAUAAAUGACGCAGUGACACAGGAAGAUAGUCGAACCGAGCGGAUGGAAAAGCUCGGCCAAGGCGAGGAGCGGGCAUAGAGUGAAGUACCUAUGUAGGACGCUAAGCGCCGAUGGGGACGUGAAGAACAGUAAAUAAGUCGACGAAUCUACACUGGCGAGAAAAACUGCUAAAUAAGGAUGGAGGUACCCGUACCGCAAACCGACACAGGUAGACGAGAAGAAAAUUCAAAGACGAACGGGAGAACCCUUGUUAAGGAACUCGGCAAAAUGACCCCGUAACUUCGGGAGAAGGGGUGCCUCGAAAGAGGCCGCAGAGAAUAGUCACAAGCGACUGUUUAGCAAAAACACAGGUAUCUGCGAAAGCGAGAGCUGACGUAUAGGUGCUGACGCCUGCCCGGUGCUGGAAGGUUAAGGGGAAGUGUUAGGGGAAACCCGAAGCAGAGAACCGAAGCCCCAGUAAACGGCGGCCGUAACUAUAACGGUCCUAAGGUAGCGAAAUUCCUUGUCGGGUAAGUUCCGACCCGCACGAAAGGCGUAAUGAUUUGGACGCUGUCUCAACAGGGGGCCCGGCGAAAUUGUAGUAUACGUGAAGAUGCGUAUUAACCCGCGACUGGACGGAAAGACCCCGUAGAGCUUUACUGUAACUUGAUAUUGGAACACGACAACGAAUGCACAGGAUAGGUGGGAGACUAAGAAGUAAGUGCUUAGGCAUUUACGGAGUCGAUGUUGGGAUACCACCCUUUCAUUGUUGGGUUUCUAACGGACAGCCGUGAACCGGUGUACGGACAGUGUCAGGUGGGCAGUUUGACUGGGGCGGUCGCCUCCUAAAGAGUAACGGAGGCGCCCAAAGGUUCCCUCAGGAUGGUUGGAAAUCAUCCAAAGAGUGUAAAGGCAGAAGGGAGCUUAACUGUGAGACUGACAAGUCGAACAGAUACGAAAGUAGGACUUAGUGAUCCGGCGGUAGAGAAUGGAAUUGCCGUCGCUUAACGGAUAAAAGUUACCUCGGGGAUAACAGGCUGAUCUCCCCCAAGAGUUCACAUCGACGGGGAGGUUUGGCACCUCGAUGUCGGCUCA